ACCAGGAUGGCCGAGUGGUUAAGGCGUUGGACUUAAGAUCCAAUGGACGCAUGUCUAUGUGGUUUGAACCCCGCUCCUGGUA
This 82-nucleotide transfer RNA is filed under the name Anguilla anguilla (European eel). It matches the Rfam family "tRNA". From Rfam's summary of the family: Transfer RNA (tRNA) molecules are approximately 80 nucleotides in length. The record is from Rfam by way of RNAcentral. Lineage: Eukaryota; Metazoa; Chordata; Actinopteri; Anguilliformes; Anguillidae.